RNAcentral lists this long non-coding RNA (1071 nucleotides) under Notechis scutatus (mainland tiger snake). RNAcentral's name for it is "lncRNA (ENSNSUG00000020535.1)". The record is from RNAcentral. Lineage: Eukaryota; Metazoa; Chordata; Lepidosauria; Squamata; Elapidae.
CGAGCAAGGAACCACGCGAGCGCGCUCUCCUGCCCCAAAGCUAUUGUUUCCAUUCCUGGCGGCCUCAAUGGAAAUUCCACCCCCCCACCCCUCCUUUCUGUUACCCGGGCUGGGCCGGGCUAUUUAUACAGCUUGGCGCUGCCGUCACGGAGAGCCGUUUCGCUGACGAGGGAUUGACGCUCUUGGCUGCCGGAGCCGCGCUUGCGGUUACAAAGGGCGCUUUUGUGUGAAAAGCGACUCCGGGGGUUUGGAAGAAACGGCGGGGAAGGAAGGGGGGAAGACCGUCGCCCUUUGGCCGCCCCGUUUGCAACCCCGAAAUCUUCCUCCGAAGAGGCUGCCCGCGGCGGACAGUCGUCGUCCCCCCCCCCCCCCCCCCCCCCCCCCCCACUUCCCGGAGGUGUUAGCCCGCUUUGCCUCUGAAGCGAAAAUGUUGCACCCUGGAAUGGAGAGAGUUUUAGCCACCGGUUUGGAAGAGAAAGAAAGAGAAAGAAAGAAAAGAGGGCGAGGGAAGCGGGCAUUUGGCAGAAGAAAAAAAAACGGGCUUCUGGCGGAGCCCCAGGGCAAAGAAAAAAAGGUGACCCUUAUGUUUUAAGAACAGAAAAUUGAAGAGCUUUUCCUCAAAACAAUCCAGAAGAUUAACAUUAUUUUUAAUCUCCCAAGUUAAUUUGUUCUGAAAUACGCUUUGCUGAGAUACUGUUAGGUUACAAGAGUGGUUCUCAACCUACAAUGGCAUGUGGGGCUAAAAUUGUUCUUCGCAACCAGAAUUCCAGAUGCUGUCAGUGUGGAUGUUUUUCUUUUGCAGGAAUUCCACAAAAUGUCGAAUUGCUCUUCCUUUAUCAUUCCAGGUCUAGAGAGAGAAUCUCUUACACUGAAUUCUCUGUACAAGUAUUUAGGUAUCCAAAGGCAUGAUUUUGUUACAUCUACAAAACUGUUUGCAUUCAUUUAACGUAGACUUCUUUUUGAGGCCUGGAGCCAUGGAUGUUUGUUCUCUCUCUUCUUUUUUUCACAUCAUUACUCUGAUACUGCUUGAUUAGCUCCCUCCCCAGUCAUGAUUGGUAAUUAAAAUAGGCA